This 311-nucleotide long non-coding RNA is filed under the name Salvia miltiorrhiza (redroot sage). RNAcentral describes it as "long non-coding RNA (SMIL_LNC003369)". The record is from RNAcentral. Lineage: Eukaryota; Viridiplantae; Streptophyta; Magnoliopsida; Lamiales; Lamiaceae.
AGUUCUUUAAGCCGAUUUCCGUUUCCUGUCGGCAUUCAAAUGCCAUAAAACUAUUUCCCUGAAUUUUGAUCAGAAACUAGUACCCAAAAUCCAACCUUAUAUAAUGACUUCCGAAUGAUCACAAAAUUCUCAAAUAUCACAAAAAUGCUAAAUUAGAAAAUAGGGAUGUCCCAAAACCUUCCGAAAAUCCAAUUCAAUCACCCCCACAAACAGACCUGAAAAAGUUAAGCUAGGCCCCUAAAUAGAUGGGAAAUCUGCAGAAACAUAAUAAGAAAGAAUCCGAAUUUGAUUGCAACAAAAAUUGGCUUUUC